GAGGCUAAAACAAAAUUUCAGAUUUCAAAUCAACAUGGAUUUGUUCGCCGAAAUGAAAUCUAGGAUUAGAUAGAUGGAAAGACUGAAGAAAUAUGGCCGUUUUCGGCUUUUUAUGUCAAAAUAUAACAAUUAUUUUGUAUGGAUGUUCUGCGGGGUUCUUGCAAUAGCACAGAUCGAUUUCAUUUACAAAUCGGUGACUGGCCAAAGGCCUAAAUUGGACAAAGAGGAAGUGGAAAAAGAGAGGGAAGAAAUGGAAAAACUUGUUACAAGCCUGAAAAGAAAUCUACAGAACCUGUUUCAGCAUAAGGAAAGAGAAGAUCCCAAUUAGCUAUGAACAUCAAGAUACAAACUGGUUUAGGCCAACUCGGUUUUAAAGCUUGUUCUUAGAAAUGAAAAGACAGACAUCCUAGUUUGAAAAUUGUAAUUUUUUGUCAGUUGAGUUGUCUAUUAUAGCUGCAAGUCUGUGUGGACAGGCCUAAUCAUUAGAUUCGUGAAAAUUAUGAUUCCUGUUUGCAAUUAAUUUUUUUUCUUUCAAACUUUAGGAAAUGUUAAAUAAUUUAAAAGUCUUGUGUAUGACUAGGAAGUGGGUCUUUAUUUGUGAAAUUUUUUAAUAGAAAAAGACAUGUGUCAUAAAUUUCUUCAUAAAACAAAAUACCUUGC
Molecule: non-coding RNA, 660 nt
Organism: Rhopilema esculentum
Lineage: Eukaryota; Metazoa; Cnidaria; Scyphozoa; Rhizostomeae; Rhizostomatidae
Source: RefSeq, a predicted model, not a curated record